GAUUGAAACGGCUGGCGGAACAGCGUUACUACACUAGUCAAGACGACGACGGCAGCGGGCGGUCGACCUGGCGGCGAGCGGCGAACGGGUGAGUAACACAUCGGAACGUGCCCAGACGUGGGGGAUAGCCCGGCGAAAGCCGGAUUAAUACCGCAUGUGAUCUGAGGAUGAAAGUGGGGGACCGCAAGGCCUCACGCGUUUGGAGCGGCCGAUGGCAGAUUAGGUAGUUGGUGGGGUAAAGGCUUACCAAGCCUGCGAUCUGUAGCUGGUCUGAGAGGAUGAUCAGCCACACUGGGACUGAGACACGGCCCAGACUCCUACGGGAGGCAGCAGUGGGGAAUUUUGGACAAUGGGCGCAAGCCUGAUCCAGCCAUUCCGCGUGCAGGACGAAGGCCUUCGGGUUGUAAACUGCUUUUGUACGGAACGAAAGGGCUCUGGUUAAUACCUGGGGCAUAUGACGGUACCGUAAGAAUAAGCACCGGCUAACUACGUG
This 493-nucleotide ribosomal RNA is filed under the name uncultured bacterium. RNAcentral describes it as "bacterial SSU rRNA". It matches the Rfam family "Bacterial small subunit ribosomal RNA", at positions 35 to 507 of the family's 1533-position model. The record is from RNAcentral.